GGCGAACGGGUGAGUAACACGUUGGGAACCUACCCCCCUGAUCGGAAUACCCAAGGGAAACUUUGGUUAAUGCCGAAUACGUGGUUCUGGGAUAACCUGGAGUCAUAAAAGGCGGCCUUAAAGCCGCGCAGAGGGAUGGACCUGCGGCGCAUUAGCUAGUAGGUGAGAUAAUAGCCCACCUAGGCGAGGAUGCGUAGCCGACCUGAGAGGGUGAACGGCCACACUGGAACUGAGACACGGUCCAGACUCCUACGGGAGGCAGCAGUAGGGAGUAUUCGGCAAUGGGGGAAACCCUGACCGAGCAACGCCGCGUGAAUGAUGACGGCCUUCGGGUUGUAAAAUUCUGUGGCGAGGAACGAAUGGCAAGGAGAGGAAAUGCUCUUUGUUUGACGGUACCUCGCUAGAAAGCCACGGCUAACUACGUGCCAGCAGCCGCGGUAAUACGUAGGUGGCAAGCGUUAUCCGGAAUUAUUGGGCGUAAAGAGUGAGCAGGCGGUUUUUUAAGUCUGAAGUCAAAUCCUGUGGCUCAACCACAGUUCGCUUUGGAAACUGAAGAACUAGAGUGCGGGAGAGGUAAGCGGAAUUCCAUAUGUAGCGGUGAAAUGCACAGAUAUAUGGAGGAACACCGGUGGCGAAGGCGGCUUACCAGCCCGAUACUGACGCUCAGUCACGAAAGCGUGGGGAGCAAAUAGGCUUAGAUACCCUAGUAGUCCACGCCGUAAACGUUGAGGACCUGAUGCCGGAGUAUUUCGGUGUCGUAGCUAACGCGUUAAGUCCUCCGCCUGGGUACUACGUUCGCAAGAAUAAAACUUAAAGGAAUUGACGGGGGCCCGCAC
Molecule: ribosomal RNA, 836 nt
Filed under: human gut metagenome
Description: bacterial SSU rRNA
Rfam family: Bacterial small subunit ribosomal RNA
Source: RNAcentral